RNAcentral lists this ribosomal RNA (206 nucleotides) under uncultured bacterium. RNAcentral's name for it is "partial 16S ribosomal RNA". It matches the Rfam family "Bacterial small subunit ribosomal RNA", at positions 568 to 773 of the family's 1533-position model. The record is from RNAcentral.
AGCGCAGGCGGGAAGACAAGUUGGAAGUGAAAACCAUGGGCUCAACCCAUGAAUUGCUUUCAAAACUGUUUUUCUUGAGUAGUGCAGAGGUAGAUGGAAUUCCCGGUGUAGCGGUGGAAUGCGUAGAUAUCGGGAGGAACACCAGUGGCGAAGGCGGUCUACUGGGCACCAACUGACGCUGAGGCUCGAAAGCAUGGGGUACAAAC